GAUGAACGCUGGCUACAGGCUUAACACAUGCCAGUCGAGGGGAAGCGGCAUUGAGUGCUUGCACUGAAUGGACGUCGACCGGCGCACGGGUGAGUAACGCGUAUCCAACCUUCCCGUUACUGCGGGAUAACCUGCCGAAAGGCAGACUAAUACCGCAUGUUCUUCGAUGACGGCAUCAGAUUCGAAGCAAAGAUCCGUCGGUAACGGAGGGGGAUGCGUCUGAUUAGCUAGUUGGCGGGGCGACGGCCCACCAAGGCGACGAUCAGUAGGGGUUCUGAGAGGAAGGUCCCCCACAUUGGAACUGAGACACGGUCCAAACUCCUACGGGAGGCAGCAGUGAGGAAUAUUGGUCAAUGGGCGGAAGCCUGAACCAGCCAAGUAGCGUGCAGGAUGACGGCCCUACGGGUUGUAAACUGCUUUUAUGCGGGGAUAAAGUGAGGGACGCGUCCCUUUUUGCAGGUACCGCAUGAAUAAGGACCGGCUAAUUCCGUG
This 492-nucleotide ribosomal RNA is filed under the name uncultured bacterium. RNAcentral's name for it is "partial 16S ribosomal RNA". It matches the Rfam family "Bacterial small subunit ribosomal RNA", at positions 28 to 507 of the family's 1533-position model. The record is from RNAcentral.